GAUGAACGCUAGCGGCAGGCCUAAUACAUGCAAGACGAACGGUAAGUUGAGUAGCAAUACUUAGCCAAGAGUGUCGUACGGGUGCGUAACACGUAUGCAACCUACCCUAUACAGGAGGAUAGCCUAGGGAAACCUGGAUUAACCCUUCAUAGUAUUAUUGGAUGGCAUCAUUUGAUAAUUAAAACUGAGGUGGUAUAGGAUGGGCAUGCGUCUGAUUAGUUAGUUGGCGGGGUAAUGGCCCACCAAGACGAUGAUCAGUAGGGGUUCUGAGAGGAAGAUCCCCCACACUGGCACUGAGAUACGGGCCAGACUCCUACGGGAGGCAGCAGUAGGGAAUAUUGGUCAAUGGAUGCAAGUCUGAACCAGCCAUGCCGCGUGCAGGAAGAAGGCCUUCUGGGUUGUAAACUGCUUUUGCCAGGGGAUAAAAUUUCCAUGCGUGGAAAACUGAAGGUACCUGGUGAAUAAGCCACGG
Molecule: ribosomal RNA, 472 nt
Filed under: uncultured bacterium
Lineage: Bacteria
Description: bacterial SSU rRNA
Rfam family: Bacterial small subunit ribosomal RNA
Source: RNAcentral